UGAGGAUGUAGAAUGCAGUUUGGAGAUGCUU
RNAcentral lists this non-coding RNA (31 nucleotides) under Homo sapiens (human). Lineage: Eukaryota; Metazoa; Chordata; Mammalia; Primates; Hominidae. The record is from RNAcentral.